RNAcentral lists this ribosomal RNA (494 nucleotides) under uncultured bacterium. Its description in RNAcentral is "partial 16S ribosomal RNA". It matches the Rfam family "Bacterial small subunit ribosomal RNA", at positions 28 to 507 of the family's 1533-position model. The record is from RNAcentral.
GACGAACGCUGGCGGCGUGCUUAACACAUGCAAGUCGAACGGUGAAGCGCCUUCCUUUUUGGUGGGUGUGGAUGAGUGGCGAACGGGUGGGUAACACGUGAGUAACCUGCCCCCUUCUUCUGGAUAACCGCAUGAAAGUGUGGCUAAUACGGGAUAUUCUGGGUCUGUCGCAUGAUGGGUCUGGGAAAGAUAUUGUUUCGGUGGGGGGUGGGCUCGCGGCCUAUCAGCUUGUUGGUGGGGUGAUGGCCUACCAAGGCGGUGACGGGUAGCCGGCCUGAGAGGGUGGACGGUCACACUGGGACUGAGACACGGCCCAGACUCCUACGGGAGGCAGCAGUGGGGAAUAUUGCACAAUGGGCGCAAGCCUGAUGCAGCGACGCCGCGUGAGGGAUGGAGGCCUUCGGGUUGUGAACCUCUUUCGCCAGUGAAGCAGGCCUGCCUCGUUUGUGGGUGGGUUGACGGUAGCUGGAUAAGAAGCGCCGGCUAACUACGUG